UGAAACAUUGUGAGCAGAUAAUUGUCGAAUUUAUCACAGUUCGAUGUUUCCAACACUCGCAGCGAAUGUUCCUCGCCGCGUUCCUUAUUCUUUGGUUUCUUCUUAAUUUCACGAACUGCGCAGCAAAUUCGACAGCAGCUGGCAGCCACCACCGAAUCCCGAAGUAAUUAGGCGAAUCAGCGUCAACGUGCUUACAUAAUCGCUGUAGAUUCGAGUCGUAAAACGUUGCGAGACGACACCCUCUGGCCACCUCAAACGACCAAUACACGAACACGCAAACGACAAACUCAAUUGCACCGAAUUGCUUCGCAACGAGAGGAGGAGGCAGGCGUUAUAAAUAAAUUUGAGGCAGCUCGGUGCGUCUCGUAGAAAAAUCUCGACCGUCUAUUCACGAAAGAGGCACAGAGUUUCUAGCGUUUUUCGCGUGGUUCCUCGUGCUCGACCCUGAUUAUUUAUAGGUGGUAGAAUUUGCAUCGAGAAAGCCAAGUUAUGGUAUCAUCAUAUGCUAUGACGAUGAGCGAACGUCCGACGAAGUGAUAAUCAGAAAAUUGUUUCUAUGGUCCGGGAACAACAAACGAUUUAACGCGAUAAUUGAACGGAUUUUAUAAUAAUUUACAAAAAUGCAAAUAAACCGGAUAACAUUAGAACGUUUUGAUAUCGAGAUGGAUAGCAACGAUCGAUGAAGGUUUAUCGAAAUAGCGAACCAAAGAAGUAACAGCGAAAUUAACGAAAUACCAGGGAUAUGGUUUAUUUUUCAUAAGAGAAAUUCGAGCAACCUCGGACGAUAAAAAGGGGAAGUUAUGCCAGCCAUCUGGAGAAGGUCGAGUGCUGGCGCCUAACCAAGGUCACGGAUAGAGGAAUUUACGACCUUUCGGGUGUUCGACGAACCCUCUUUUGUGCCUCCGCUUGAAAUACCUUUCACAGAUUUCACCUGCCUACUAUUAUAUAAAAUGUUCCAUUGUUGAUUGUAAACAAAAGUUAGUAGGUGCAACUUAAUGAAUAGAAAGUCUCAUUCAUGGCUCGAUUUAAAGAAAACAUUUUGGCUUUGUGUGGCUCGUUAAGCGUUUCGCUCUGCUAUUAUUAUUUUGUUCGCAGCAGAUACAAGUUUACGCGCUUACGUUUAUGUAAACAAAUAAUUCAUCGUUCGAAGGAUUUAUUUAUAAAGCGGUAGAUUUUAUUUUAUUUAUCGAAGGAACAUCCGCCGGUGAAGUAAAUUGUUCUUUUUUCCCUUUUCUUUUUUUUUUUUUUUUUUUUUUUGAGAUAGAAAUAUUGAUUUAUUUAUAAAGUAGCAGGUUUUAAUCUAUUCGUCGAAGAAAUAAUUCGUCCCGAUGGAAGAUAUCAGUCUUUUAACAUUUAAUACAUCUCGAUUUAAUAUAUCGAUUUCUAAAGUACAUAACGCACUUUGUUCUAUUGAAAAUGUAUUUUAUUCCUAUCCAAAUGCAUAGUUUAUUCGACAUUUAUAUAAACUAAUGAAAUUUCACUUGGUUCAAUAUAUAACAUGUAUCUUCUUCAAAUUUACGAAAUAAUUUCUUUCGUAAACAAUUUCGCCAAUCCACGAAUUACUCGAAAAUGAAACAUUCCAAGUUACGUAUUUCCUCUUACUAUGCAUUUCUGUAUCUUUGCCCGGUAAACAUCAACGAGAUAUACAUAUAACGUUCGAUUCUUGGAUAAUUCAGGGAUCGAUUCUUAAGUCUGAAAAUCGAGUGUAUUGUAACAAUACUUAAAUAAAAUACAGAGGUAAACAACAAUAAAUGAUAAUCAAUAACAGUAAAUAAUAAUGAACAGCAAAGCUUUGUACAAGGUCUACCUGAAGAUCGACUCCUCCUCUGUCAAUCUUCAAUACUCUAAAUAAUAAUUUCUUUCUUAUGAUCGUGUCUAUUUCCAACGCUCGAAAUCCUUCUUCUUGUCUAACAGUCCGUCUGUGAAAUGACUGUUUGGCAAAUCGGUUGUCCGUAACGACGAAUAACGUCACAUUGUUCGUUAAACAGAGAAGGUUCUUUUGUUUAUCCGCGUUUGAACUCUUAGGGAAUUUGCAUACGUUAUACGCUUUUGUCUCUCCUUAUUUGUAUAAAACAAUACUGUUGAGGUUAUUCAGUAUAUAAAGAGAGAAAAACGCGCGGAUAAAGUGUAAGAUACAACAUAUAUUUGAUUUAAUAGUGAAAUACAGGAAUACAAUUUGAGCUGGUCCAGAUCCGCACGCUAGCAGUGUUACCUUAUAACUGAAAACCCCGAAACCAACGUCGCCUGUCUACCGUUUAUGGUCUGCCUCCCUGCUAUUCUUUUGUCUAUAUGCUGUCGAUGGCUUCAGCAUUUGAGAAAACUAAAAAGACCAGAUGUGGAGUUUUCCUAGAAGUGGUGACCACUUCAACAAAUACAUUAUAAAAUAGCCUACCUACUAAAAA
Molecule: long non-coding RNA, 2402 nt
Organism: Bombus terrestris (buff-tailed bumblebee)
Lineage: Eukaryota; Metazoa; Arthropoda; Insecta; Hymenoptera; Apidae
Exons: 3
Source: RefSeq, a predicted model, not a curated record